This 994-nucleotide long non-coding RNA is filed under the name Olea europaea subsp. europaea. Lineage: Eukaryota; Viridiplantae; Streptophyta; Magnoliopsida; Lamiales; Oleaceae. The record is from RNAcentral.
CAUAAAUACCAUAUCAUUCCAUUCCAAUUUACACUUUCAUUUUGCAUAAAACAUUUGCAUCAAAGUCAUAGUUAUGGUAGAGAAAGAAUUCCGUUCGAGUUCGCUGAUUGAAAUCAUUUGGAGCGCUCAUAUGGCUCGACGUAGUCGUUGUAUCUUGAGAGAUGAUUGCCACAGAACCUUUAGCACCGAUGCGGGGCAAAUUCAUCUUAAGGACAAAGUGUCCAACACUUGUCUCGAUCAAAAAUCCGUCAUUUGCAUCUUCUUUUUUCAUUUUCUGAUUCCUUUUAUUAUGAUUUGAUUUCAGAAAAUGAUUAACGUUAUUUAUAUGUUUAUCCUGCAAGGUUUGAUCCAAAGAAUUACUUGCUUUCGAUCAUGAGUCAAAAGGGAAUAAUCCAUAUUCAGGUGUUCGAAUUCGAUAAAUUCUUAUUUUGCCUUCUCAAAUCCUAUCUCAGUAAAUCGAAAUUAUAUUUCGAUUUCACGCAAAUUAACGGUAUGUUUUUAUGAAUAUAUUAUGCUCAAUUAUCGAUGUAAUUCUCCAACAAAUAUACAGAAGACUAGAGUUUACGUUGAGCGUGAAAUUGUUUCACAGAACUUGGGGGAAAUUAGUGAUGGCGUCAAGAUGGUGCCUGCUAGUAUGGAUGCAAUCUUAUUGCUGCCGAGGAAAGAGAUGGAUUAUAAUGGGGACGAGUUCAGGAAUUGUACGGUAUGCCUGGAGGAGAUCACGAAGGGGGUGGAAGUCUCGACCCUUCCGUGCUCGUGUAUGUUUCACAGUAAUUGUAUUGCAGAAUGGCCUAAGAGAAGUCAUUAUUGUCCUAUUUGUCACUUUGAGAUGCAUAUUGCAAUGAAUAAGGUAUUGUUUCUCGAUCAAUUUCAAGAAAGGUUCAUGGAAUCUUGUAGUGUGAAAUAGUCUUCAGAUUAUUGUUUUGGUAUCUUUGCGUGAGAAUUCUUAAACUUUGUAAGUUGUUUAAUGUUUUAUGUAAUAGAAAUAUCCCAG